CCUACGGGAGGCAGCAGUGGGGAAUAUUGCACAAUGGGGGAAACCCUGAUGCAGCGACGCCGCGUGAAGGAAGAAGUAUUUCGGUAUGUAAACUUCUAUCAGCAGGGAAGAAAAUGACGGUACCUGACUAAGAAGCCCCGGCUAACUACGUGCCAGCAGCCGCGGUAAUACGUAGGGGGCAAGCGUUAUCCGGAUUUACUGGGUGUAAAGGGAGCGUAGGCGGUUUAGCAAGUCAGAAGUGAAAGCCCGGGGCUCAACUCCGGGACUGCUUUUGAAACUGUUGAACUAGAUUGCAGGAGAGGUAAGUGGAAUUCCUAGUGUAGCGGUGAAAUGCGUAGAUAUUAGGAGGAACACCGGUGGCGAAGGCGGCUUGCUGGACGGUAACUGACGUUGAGGCUCGAAAGCGUGGGGAGCAAACAGGAUUAGAUACCCUGGUAGUC
This 440-nucleotide ribosomal RNA is filed under the name uncultured bacterium. RNAcentral's name for it is "partial 16S ribosomal RNA". It matches the Rfam family "Bacterial small subunit ribosomal RNA", at positions 338 to 795 of the family's 1533-position model. The record is from RNAcentral.